GGUAGAGUACUCGGCUUUUAAGUGCGACUCGAUUUUUUCGAGUCCCGGGCAACCCACUCGAAUUAUCAUCUC
RNAcentral lists this transfer RNA (72 nucleotides) under Brachystegia angustistipulata. Its description in RNAcentral is "tRNA-Lys". The record is from RNAcentral. Lineage: Eukaryota; Viridiplantae; Streptophyta; Magnoliopsida; Fabales; Fabaceae.